UACGAAGGGGGCUAGCGUUGUUCGGAAUUACUGGGCGUAAAGGGCGCGGCCAGGCGGUCCUUCAAGUCAGGCGUGAAAGCCCCGGGCUCAACCUGGGAAUAGCGCUUGAGACUGAAGGACUUGAGUUCGGGAGAGGAGAGCGGAAUUCCCAGUGUAGAGGUGAAAUUCGUAGAUAUUGGGAAGGAACACCGGUGGCGAAGGCGGCUCUCUGGACCGACACUGA
This 223-nucleotide ribosomal RNA is filed under the name uncultured bacterium. RNAcentral's name for it is "partial 16S ribosomal RNA". It matches the Rfam family "Bacterial small subunit ribosomal RNA", at positions 524 to 743 of the family's 1533-position model. The record is from RNAcentral.